RNAcentral lists this ribosomal RNA (807 nucleotides) under uncultured organism. RNAcentral's name for it is "bacterial SSU rRNA". It matches the Rfam family "Bacterial small subunit ribosomal RNA", at positions 13 to 814 of the family's 1533-position model. The record is from RNAcentral.
UUGAUCCUGGCUCAGGAUGAACGCUAGCGGCAGGCCUAACACAUGCAAGUCGAGGGGUAACAGGAGUAGCAAUACUUGCUGACGACCGGCGCACGGGUGAGUAACGCGUAUGCAACCUACCUUUGACUGGAGAAUAGCCCGAAGAAAUUCGGAUUAAUGCUCCAUGAGACCACAAUACCGCAUGAUAUAGUGGUAAAAGCUCCGGCGGUCAAAGAUGGGCAUGCGUGCCAUUAGUUAGUUGGUGAGGUUACGGCUCACCAAGACAACGAUGGCUAGGGGGUCUGAGAGGAUGAUCCCCCACACUGGUACUGAGACACGGACCAGACUCCUACGGGAGGCAGCAGUGAGGAAUAUUGGUCAAUGGACGCAAGUCUGAACCAGCCAUGCCGCGUGCAGGAUGAAUGCCCUAUGGGUUGUAAACUGCUUUUCUACAAGAAGAAACUUCCUGAUGUAUCAGGAACUGACGGUAUUGUAGGAAUAAGCAUCGGCUAACUCCGUGCCAGCAGCCGCGGUAAUACGGAGGAUGCAAGCGUUAUCCGGAUUCAUUGGGUUUACAGGGUGCGUAGGCGGGGUAGUAAGUCAGUGGUGAAAGCCUGCGGCUUAACCGUAGAAUUGCCAUUGAUACUGCUAUUCUUGAGUGCAGUUGAGGUAGGCGGAAUGUGUAAUGUAGCGGUGAAAUGCUUAGAUAUUACACAGAACACCGAUUGCGUAGGCAGCUUACUAAACUGUAACUGACGCUGAGGCCACGAAAGCGUGGGGAGCGAACAGGAUUAGAUACCCUGGUAAUCCACGCUGUAAACUAUGAUC